This 497-nucleotide ribosomal RNA is filed under the name uncultured bacterium. RNAcentral describes it as "partial 16S ribosomal RNA". It matches the Rfam family "Bacterial small subunit ribosomal RNA", at positions 28 to 507 of the family's 1533-position model. The record is from RNAcentral.
GAUGAACGCUGGCGGCGUGCCUAAUACAUGCAAGUCGAGCGAACGGACGAGAAGCUUGCUUCUCUGAUGUUAGCGGCGGAAGGGUGAGUAACACGUGGAUAACCUACCUAUAAGACUGGGAUAACUUCGGGAAACCGGAGCUAAUACCGGAUAAUAUUUUGAACCGCAUGGUUCAAAAGUGAAAGACGGUCUUGCUGUCACUUAUAGAUGGAUCCGCGCUGCAUUAGCUAGUUGGUAAGGUAACGGCUUACCAAGGCAACGAUGCAUAGCCGACCUGAGAGGGUGAUCGGCCACACUGGAACUGAGACACGGUCCAGACUCCUACGGGAGGCAGCAGUAGGGAAUCUUCCGCAAUGGGGGAAAGCCUGACGGAGCAGCGCCGCGUGGGUGAUGAAGGUCUUCGGAUCGUAAAACUCUGUUAUUAGGGAAGAACAUAUGUGUAAGUAACUGUGCACAUCUUGACGGUACCUAAUCAGAAAGCCACGGCUAACUACGUG